This 237-nucleotide unclassified non-coding RNA is filed under the name plant metagenome. RNAcentral's name for it is "partial contains small subunit ribosomal RNA, internal transcribed spacer 1, and 5.8S ribosomal RNA". The record is from RNAcentral.
UUUCCGUAGGUGAACCUGCGGAAGGAUCAUUACCGCGCGAGGGUCUCUCAGGCCCGUCCUCCCACCCUGUGUUUUUGUGACCUUGUUGCUUUGGCUGGUCCGCCUCGGUGAUAGGCCGCCGGUAGCUCACCGCUUUCGUCCCGUGCCCGCCAGUAGCCCCCUUACAUUCUUAAUAAACCUGUCUUCUGAGUCUAGCUAUAAUAAAAAAAACUUUCAACAACGGAUCUCUUGGUUCUG